AUGACCCGCAGCCGCCGCGCCCGCCCCGCCCCGCCACCGGCGGCGCUGGAAGACGACGACCUCCCGCGGAAGAUUUUCCUCCUCCUCCCGCCUCAGCCCUCCACCCUUCCCCGCGUCUCCGUCGUCUGCAAGCAGUGGCGCGACGUCGUCACCGACCCCCAAUUCCUCCGCGGCUUCCGCGACCAACACCGGAGACCUCCGCUCCUCGGCCUCGUCAUGGGCCACACCGCGUCGCCCUACUUCAGGUCCGAUCUCGACCCUCCAGACCACAUCCCGCACGAGCGCUUCUUCCCUCGAGACAUCCGCAGCAUGAACAUGGACAUAUUCGACUGCCGCCAUGGGCGCGUCGUCUUCUUCGCCCAACGGCUGGGCGAGGUCGUGCUGUUUGACCCCGCCACGGGAGGCCGCCGUUGUGUGGUCGUUCCACCAGUGUUUCACGGAAAGGAGAUUGGCGUCUUCAACGCCGCCGUGAUUUGCGUUUCCGGCGACGAAGGCCACGUGCACGGCGAUUGCCACGCCAGUCCAUUUCAGGUGAUCUUGAUGGGCAUCAGUGACGACUAUAAACAAGCUUUCGCCUCUGUCUACUCAUCGGAGUCUGGCAUAUGGGGUGAUAUCAUCUCCAUAGAGAAUCGUGAGAUGUAUGAUUUGAAGCAACCCAGUACACUUAUUGGAAAUGCCCUUUACUGGUUGUUUCCUGGAGAUGAUGGGGAAGGCAUACUGGAGUUUGAUUUGGGUAGGCAGAGCCUAGCCAAUAUCGAGAUGCCGCAAGGUCUGGUGUACUAUAGUCCUCGCAGCCUUCAGGUCAUGGUAGCAGACGGUGGCUGUGUCGGCCUCGCCAUUCUGUCAUGCUAUAGAUUCGAAAUGUGGGAGAGGAAGGUCAGUUGUGAUGAUGGUGUUGCUGGAUGGGUGUUGCAGAAGACCGUUCAACUGAACACGAUCCUUGGAUUGGGGCCUAUGGGGGGACUGGACAAUUUACUAAUGGGAUAUGAUGAAGUUGAUCAUGUGAUUUAUAUAAGGACGGACAUUGGUUUCUGCAUGGUUCGACUUGAGUCGAUGCAGUUCAGGAACCUCGGCAAAGACAAUUUCAGCAAUACUUCCUAUCUUCCCUACAGAAGUUUCUAUACUGCAGUGAGUGACUUGGCAGUAUGCGAGAGGACUGGUGAACUCUUUGCACCUCUUGCAAAUGAUUACCUCCUUGCUUCAUGGGGUGUAGAAGCAGUAGGAGGUAACGAAGCAGCUACCUUGAGUGAAACCUCACCGGAAGGAGGUACGGUCGGCAUGUCAAAGCACAUAGAUCAAGGAAAGGAUGCAGAUCCUGCGCCUAGCCGGGCACUAAAACAAACACGAAUUGACGUGAUAUUCAAGAAGGAGACCGAGACAAGAUCAAAGCUUAGCAAAGCUUGGGCAAAAUGGUUUCGGAGCAAUGGCGUUCCUGCAAAUAAAGCAGACUGCCCACACUUCUGUAGUGCCUUGAAGCUAACACAACAACUAGGUACCCGCCUCGUUGCUCCUACAGGCAACGAAAUAGACAGUGCAAAUCUGGACGCCAGUGAUGAAGAACUACCAUAA
RNAcentral lists this ribosomal RNA (1569 nucleotides) under Triticum aestivum (bread wheat). RNAcentral's name for it is "partial small subunit ribosomal RNA". Lineage: Eukaryota; Viridiplantae; Streptophyta; Magnoliopsida; Poales; Poaceae. The record is from RNAcentral.